RNAcentral lists this ribosomal RNA (465 nucleotides) under uncultured bacterium. Its description in RNAcentral is "partial 16S ribosomal RNA". It matches the Rfam family "Bacterial small subunit ribosomal RNA", at positions 338 to 795 of the family's 1533-position model. The record is from RNAcentral.
CCUACGGGAGGCAGCAGUGGGGAAUAUUGCGCAAUGGGCGAAAGCCUGACGCAGCGACGCCGCGUGAGGGAUGAAGGUCUUCGGAUCGUAAACCUCUGUCAGCAGGGAAGAACGGUCACUGUGCUAAUCAGCAGUGAAUUGACGGUACCUGCAAAGGAAGCACCGGCUAACUCCGUGCCAGCAGCCGCGGUAAUACGGAGGGUGCGAGCGUUAAUCGGAAUUACUGGGCGUAAAGCGCUCGUAGGCGGUAUGUCAAGUCAAGGGUGAAAUCCCCGCGCUCAACGUGGGAACUGCCUUUGAAACUGGCGAACUGGAGUGGGUGAGAGGAUAGUGGAAUUCCAGGUGUAGGAGUGAAAGCCGUAGAUAUCUGGAGGAACAUCAGUGGCGAAGGCGACUAUCUGGCACAUAACUGACGCUGAGGAGCGAAAGCGUGGGUAGCAAACAGGAUUAGAUACCCGAGUAGUC